This 273-nucleotide ribosomal RNA is filed under the name uncultured bacterium. RNAcentral describes it as "partial 16S ribosomal RNA". It matches the Rfam family "Bacterial small subunit ribosomal RNA", at positions 524 to 796 of the family's 1533-position model. The record is from RNAcentral.
UACGAAGGGGGCUAGCGUUGUUCGGAAUUACUGGGCGUAAAGCGCGCGUAGGCGGACUGAUCAGUUGGGGGUGAAAUCCCAGGGCUUAACCCUGGAACUGCCUCCAAUACUGUCAGUCUUGAGUUCGGGAGAGGUGAGUGGAAUUCCUAGUGUAGAGGUGAAAUUCGUAGAUAUUAGGAAGAACACCAGUGGCGAAGGCGGCUCACUGGCCCGAUACUGACGCUGAGGCGCAAAAGCGUGGGGAGCAAACAGGAUUAGAGACCCUAGUAGUCC